RNAcentral lists this ribosomal RNA (459 nucleotides) under uncultured bacterium. Its description in RNAcentral is "partial 16S ribosomal RNA". It matches the Rfam family "Bacterial small subunit ribosomal RNA", at positions 29 to 507 of the family's 1533-position model. The record is from RNAcentral.
AUUGAACGCUGGCGGCAGGCCUAACACAUGCAAGUCGAGCGGAUGAAUGGGGCUUGGUCCUGGAUGCAGCGGCGGACGGGUGAGUAAUGCCUAUGAAUCUGCCUGGUAGUGGGGGAUAACGUCCUGAAACGGGCGCUGAUACCGCAUGCGUCGUGAGGGAGAAAGUGGGGGGUCUUCGGACCUCACGCUUUCAGAGGAGGCUAGGACGGAUUAGCUAGUUGGUGGGGUAAAGGCGUACCAAGGCGACGAUCCGUAACUGGUAAGUGAGGAUGAUCAGCCACACUGGGGCUGAGACACAGUCCAGACUCCUACGCGAGGCGGCAGUGGGUAAUCCUGCGAUGCGGGCGGUGGCAUGACGGAGCUAGGCCGCGUGAAUGAUGAAGGUCUUAGGAAAGUACAAUUCUUUAACCGCGGACGAUAAUGACGGUACCCGCAGAAGAAGCCCCGGCUAACUUCGUG